Molecule: ribosomal RNA, 402 nt
Filed under: uncultured bacterium
Lineage: Bacteria
Description: bacterial SSU rRNA
Rfam family: Bacterial small subunit ribosomal RNA
Source: RNAcentral
UCUGGAACUCCCGACAGAGAUGUGGGAGUGCCUCGAAAAGAGAGACCAGAACCACAGGUGUCUGCAUGGUCUGUCGAUCAGACUCGGUGUCGUGAGAAUGUUGGGGUUAAGUUCCCCGCCAACGAGUCGCAACUCAUUGUCACUAUAGUUGCUACAUUCAGUUGGGCACUCAUAAUGAGACUGCCGGUGACAAACCGGAGGAAGGUGGGGAUAGACGUCAAGUCCUCAUGGCCCUUAUGGGUAGGGCUACACACGUCAUACAAUGGCCGGUACUAAAGGGCGUGCCGAACCCGCGAGGGGGAGCUAAUCCCCAUAAAACCGGUCGUAGUCCGUGAUCGUAGUCAUGCACACUCGACUGCGCGAAGCUCGGUCAUCGCCAUAGUAAGUCGUGCUUAUCUAGUC